UAUAUCUAAUAUAGAGGGAAUUUUACUUUGAGAAAAUUAGAGUGCUUAAAGCAGGCAACUGCCUUGAAUACUCCAGCAUGGAAUAAUAAGCAAGGACUUUUGUCUUUCUUAUUGGUUCUAGGACAAAAGUAAUGGUUAAUAGGGACAGUUGGGGGCAUUCGUAUUUAACAGUUAGAGGUGAAAUUCUUAGAUUUGUUAAAGACGAACUACUGCGAAAGCAUUUGCCAAGGAUGUUUUCAUUAAUCAAGAACGAAAGUUAGGGGAUCGAAGACGAUCAGAUACCGUCGUAG
Molecule: ribosomal RNA, 290 nt
Filed under: Cryptosporidium galli
Lineage: Eukaryota; Apicomplexa; Conoidasida; Eucoccidiorida; Cryptosporidiidae
Description: partial 18S ribosomal RNA
Rfam family: Eukaryotic small subunit ribosomal RNA
Source: RNAcentral